UACGUAGGGGGCGAGCGUUGUUCGGAUUUACUGGGCGUAAAGGGCGCGUAGGCGGCUUAGCAAGUCGGAAGUGAAAUCCCACGGCUCAACCAUGGAAGUGCUUUCGAAACUGCUGAGCUUGAGUACGAAAGAGGAUCGCGGAAUUCCCGGUGUAGAGGUGAAAUUCGUAGAUAUUGGGAAGAACACCGGUGGCGAAGGCGGCUAUCUGGACCGACAUUGACGCUGAGGCGCGAAAGCGUGGGGAGCAAACAGG
RNAcentral lists this ribosomal RNA (253 nucleotides) under uncultured bacterium. RNAcentral describes it as "partial 16S ribosomal RNA". It matches the Rfam family "Bacterial small subunit ribosomal RNA", at positions 524 to 776 of the family's 1533-position model. The record is from RNAcentral.